GACGAACGCUGGCGGCGUGCUUAACACAUGCAAGUCGAACGGUGAAGCGCCUUCCUUUUUGGUGGGUGUGGAUGAGUGGCGAACGGGUGAGUAACACGUGAGUAACCUGCCCCCUUCUUCUGGAUAACCGCAUGAAAGUGUGGCUAAUACGGGAUAUUCUGGGUCUGUCGCAUGAUGGGUCUGGGAAAGAUAUUGUUUCGGGGGGGGAUGGGCUCGCGGCCUAUCAGCUUGUUGGUGGGGUGAGGGCCUACCAAGGCGGUGACGGGUAGCCGGCCUGGGAGGGUGGACGGUCACACUGGGACUGAGGCACCGCCCAGACUCCUACGGGAGGCAGCAGUGUGGAAUAUUGCACAAUGGGCGCAAGUCUGAUGCAGCGACGCCGCGUGAGGGAUGGAGGCCUUCGGGUUGUGAACCUCUUUCGCCAGUGAAGCAUGCCUGCCUCGUUUGUGGGUGGGUUGACGGUAGCUGGAUAAGAAGCGCCGGCUAACUACGUG
RNAcentral lists this ribosomal RNA (494 nucleotides) under uncultured bacterium. RNAcentral's name for it is "partial 16S ribosomal RNA". It matches the Rfam family "Bacterial small subunit ribosomal RNA", at positions 28 to 507 of the family's 1533-position model. The record is from RNAcentral.